UGCGCAGGCGGCCUGUUAAGUCAGGGGUGAAAUAUGACGGCUCAACCGUCAAACUGCCCCUGAAACUGAUAGGCUUGAGUCCGAGAGAGGUAGGUGGAAUUCCAGGUGUAGCGGUGAAAUGCGUAAAUAUCUGGAGGAACACCAGUGGCGAAGGCGGCCUACUGGCUCGGAACUGACGCUCAGGCACGAAAGCAUGGGGAGCGAACG
RNAcentral lists this ribosomal RNA (207 nucleotides) under uncultured bacterium. Its description in RNAcentral is "partial 16S ribosomal RNA". It matches the Rfam family "Bacterial small subunit ribosomal RNA", at positions 568 to 774 of the family's 1533-position model. The record is from RNAcentral.